GGAAGGAUCAUUAUCGAGAUACCACAAGCUGUUGCUCAAUCGGUGCACGCUUGUUAUUCUUCAUUUCCACAUCCACUGUGCAUCCUUUUGUAGAUCUGGUUUGGGACUGCUUUGCAUUCAGUGUUGCGGGCUUUCCUUGUGAUUUUUCAGAUCUAUGUUUUUUCAUAUACUCCAGUCAUUUAGAAGGAAUGUUGUAACAAUGAUAAUCGUUAAUACAACUUUCAGCAACGGAUCUCUUGGCUCUCGCAUCGAUGAAGAACGCAGCGAAAUGCGAUAAGUAAUGUGAAUUGCAGAAUUCAGUGAAUCAUCGAAUCUUUGAACGCAUCUUGCGCUCCUUGGUAUUCUGAGGAGCAUGCCUGUUUGAGUGUCAUUAAUAUCUCUCAACCACACAGUGUGUGUGGCUUGGACUUGGGGUUCGUGUGCAGGCUUGAUGGUCUGCUGCCCUGAAAUGAAUGCAUGUUGAACCUGCAUCUUAGAUGUGAUAACCCCUUUGCAUCUUUGUUGCAUCAUUUGACCCUUGACCUCAAAUCAGGUAGGACUACCCGCUGAACUUAAGCAUAUCAAUAAGCGGAGGAAAAGAAACUAACAAGGAUUCCCUUAGUAACUGCGAGUGAAGUGGGAGAGCUCAAAUUUGUAAUCUGGCAGUCCUUGGCUGUCCGAGUUGUAAUCUAGAGAAGUGCUACCUGUGCUGGACCGUGUAAAAGUCUCCUGGAAUGGAGCAUCACAGAGGGUGAGAAUCCCGUCUUUGACAUGGACUACCAGUGCCAUCUAGGUGUGCUCUCAAAGAGUCGAGUUGUUUGGGAAUGCAGCUCAAAAUGGGUGGUAAAUGCCAUCUAAAGCUAAAUAUUGGCGAGAGACCGAUAGCGAACAAGUACCGUGAGGGAAAGAUGAAAAGAACUUUGGAAAGAGAGUUAAACAGUACGUGAAAUUGCUGAAAGGGAAACGCUUGAAGUCAGUCGUGUCAGGCAGAAAUCAACCUUUGCUUUUGCUUGGUGUACUUUCUGUCUGACGGGUCAGCAUCAGUUUUGGUCGCUGGACAAAGUUCUGGGGAAUGUGGCAUCUUAGGAUGUGUUAUAGCCCUUUGACAUAUACAGCGGCUGAGAUUGAGGAACUCAGCACGCCGCGAGGCUGGGGCUUUGGCCCACAUAACGUGCUUAGGAUGCUGGCAUAAUGGCUUUAAUCGACCCGUCUUGAAACACGGACCAAGGAGUCUAACAUGCCUGCGAGUGUUUGGGUGGAAAACCCAUGCGCGUAAUGAAAGUGAUGGUUGAGAUCCCUGUCGUGGGGAGCAUCGACGCCCAGACUGGACCUUUUGUGAUGGAUCUGCGGUAGAGCAUGCAUGUUGGGACCCGAAAGAUGGUGAACUAUGCCUGAAUAGGGUGAAGCCAGAGGAAACUCUGGUGGAGGCUCGUAGCGAUUCUGACGUGCAAAUCGAUCGUCAAAUUUGGGUAUAGGGGCGAAAGACUAAUCGAA
Molecule: ribosomal RNA, 1473 nt
Filed under: uncultured fungus
Lineage: Eukaryota; Fungi
Description: eukaryotic LSU rRNA
Rfam family: Eukaryotic large subunit ribosomal RNA (bases 519-1473)
Source: RNAcentral